UACAGAGGGUGCGAGCGUUAAUCGGAAUUACUGGGCGUAAAGCGUGCGUAGACGGCUAUUUAAGUCGGGUGUGAAAGCCCCGGGCUCAACCUGGGAAUUGCAUUCGAGACUGAGUAGCUAGGGUGCGGUAGAGGGAAGCGGAAUUUCCGGUGUAGCGGUGAAAUGCGUAGAUAUCCGGAGGAACACCGGUGGCGAAGGCGGCUUCCUGGACCGACACUGACGCUGAGGCGCGAAAGCUAGGGGAGCAAACGGG
Molecule: ribosomal RNA, 253 nt
Filed under: uncultured bacterium
Lineage: Bacteria
Description: partial 16S ribosomal RNA
Rfam family: Bacterial small subunit ribosomal RNA
Source: RNAcentral